AAGCUCGUAGUUGAAUUUCGGGUUCUACCGUUGGUCGGGCAAUAGUCUGUACUGGCGUGUAGAAUUUCUACCUUCUGGGGAACUAUCAUGUUAUUUAUUUAGCGUGGUAGGAAACCAGGACCUUUACCUUGAAAAAAAUUAGAGUGUUCAAAGCAGGCUUACGUCUGAAUACAUUAGCAUGGAAUAAUAAAAUAGGACGGUGGUCCUGUUUUGUUGGUUUCUGAAUCACCGUAAUGAUUAAUAGGGAUAGUUGGG
This 255-nucleotide ribosomal RNA is filed under the name uncultured Gigaspora. RNAcentral describes it as "partial 18S ribosomal RNA". It matches the Rfam family "Eukaryotic small subunit ribosomal RNA", at positions 624 to 886 of the family's 1831-position model. Lineage: Eukaryota; Fungi; Glomeromycota; Glomeromycetes; Diversisporales; Gigasporaceae. The record is from RNAcentral.